RNAcentral lists this ribosomal RNA (189 nucleotides) under uncultured bacterium. RNAcentral describes it as "partial 16S ribosomal RNA". It matches the Rfam family "Bacterial small subunit ribosomal RNA", at positions 588 to 776 of the family's 1533-position model. The record is from RNAcentral.
UUGGGGGUGAAAUCCCUAGGCUUAACCCAAGAACUGCCCUCAAAACUGGAAGGCUAGAGGACGAGAGAGGUGAGUGGAAUUUCCAGUGUAGAGGUGAAAUUCGUAGAUAUUGGAAAGAACACCAGUGGCGAAGGCGGCUCACUGGCUCGGUACUGACGCUGAGGUGCGACAGCGUGGGGAGCAGACAGG